RNAcentral lists this ribosomal RNA (202 nucleotides) under uncultured bacterium. RNAcentral's name for it is "partial 16S ribosomal RNA". It matches the Rfam family "Bacterial small subunit ribosomal RNA", at positions 336 to 555 of the family's 1533-position model. The record is from RNAcentral.
CUCCUACGGGAGGCAGCAGUGGGGAAUAUUGCACAAUGGGGGAAACCCUGAUGCAGCAACGCCGCGUGAGUGAUGACGGUCUUCGGAUUGUAAAGCUCUGUCUUCAGGGACGAUAAUGACGGUACCUGAGGAGGAAGCCACGGCUAACUACGUGCCAGCAGCCGCGGUAAUACGUAGGUGGCAAGCGUUGUCCGGAUUUACU